UUUUUUUUUUUUUUUUGGUAGCUUUGUUUUAGGGCCAUGCAAAGCGUGUAUCGUUUACUCGCAGCGAGGUCGUUGCGUUACGAUCUGGGCCUGGUCUUGGGGGAUUGAGUUAAGAAGAGCCCAGCUACGCCGUCCCAGCCCUAAAAAAUGGAAACUGCUUCACACACAGAGCAUGCGCGUGAUGCUAGUUUAGUCCCACCUCGCCUGCGCUGAGCGGAGCGAGCCGCGAGAGGUGUAUAAAAUGAGAGGCAGGGCAACAAGAGAAUUCAUAGGCCUUUUGGCUAAGAUCAAGUGUAGUAUUUGUUUUUAUCAGUUUAAUAUCUGAUAUAUGGGCCAUGUAUCCACAGUGAUAGAGUGUGUUCAUAAUAAUAGCUUGCUAUUACAUGUGUCGCCUGAGUGUUGCACUAUGAGAGAAUUCCUUAUUUAACAGUCCAAAACCUUUAUUCUCUAUUUGAUAUUGAAAAAAUAAUUCUUCCCUAUCUAACACAACCUUUAAAUUUUAUUUCUAAUAUAACACUUUCAUCCAUUUUUUGUGCAAACAGUGUUAAAUGGCACAUGAAAUGACAAUUCUGCCCUUGAACAUCUAUUCAACCAUUUUCUUUGACAUGUUCAUUCUAUUCGCCAAGCUAGCAUAAGCAAGAUUCCAAGUACGUUCGUACAUACACGGCUAGAGAUGAGCACGUUCUGCUUCUAGGGAAAAGUUAAUCAAGCUGCAUGUGUUUUUGAGCUAGCAAUGCACGUACUACUUGGGUGAAUCGAUCCGGCAUUCUAAAACCAACACUUGAUCACGGGCUCGCUCAACACUCGUCCGCUCCCAUCCGCUGCACCUUGGUCAUUGUUGAGGCAGACCCGCCAUCGAGUACUUUACGACGAACCCCGCAAAAAAAAAAGAGUACUUUACGACGACACUGUCGAACGACGACUAAGUGAAGCAACGUUGAUUGUCUUGGUUUCUGUCCCAAGUCGGCUCAACCCCAUGAUAUACUUUAUGUCGAGACUCACCUUACGAAGCCCGAUGCACUAGAAUGCAAAGUUGGCCUCAGCUCGCUGAUCUAGUGAUCUCCAAGCACGUACCGACGUACGUACAACAAAAAAUAGAAAAUAAACAUGUACGUACACAACAACCUUUGGUUGGAUACUCAAACGCACACACGCGUAGGAGACUUCGGCUGAUUGUCACACGUACGUAUCCUGAGUGGUGAUUUUACUUUAUUGCUUCAAUCCACGGUCUUACAAAGUAUAUGUAUAUAUAGCAGCAGCCUAGGACACGAACCACGUACGUACAACUACAACUUGGUGAUUGAAUGUGUACAAAUGGGACACAAACCACGUACGCUAUUUUGAGCCAUCCCCACCACCCUGCUUCGAGGAGUUUUUGCAGCCAGAACCAAGGGUAAACUUGUCCUUUCACAUUCCAUUUAACACCGUUAGGUCCAAAAAUGGACGAAAGUGUUACAUUGGGAACAAAAUUUAAAGUUGGUGUUAGAUAGAGAAGAAACAUUUUUCCAGUGUUAAAUAGGGAAAUAGAAUUUAAAAUAGUGUUAAACAAGGAAUUCUUUCUUGCACUAUUGCCCUGGCCACCCAACCAAAACUAAUUCAAACUCUUCCAGGCUUCCAGCUUUCUCAGGCUUAGGAUGCUGCAUACAGAACAACUCUUUCCAAAAGUGUAUAUUUUUAGACCUCACCGCUUCAAAUAUAACUGCAGGUAAAAGUUUGAAGAAUUGAAAAUGUCAGAUACGAAUGAUUAUCUAAAAUAAGCCGAGAGAUGAACUGUAUAAGCUGCGAGAAGUUAAUCCCGAAGAAGAGCAUGCCUCAGUUUGAUGACGAUGAUCAGGCUGUUGACUGUAACUCUUAUACAAGUUAAAAAAACUGAGUGCCAACAGUACUUUUUCUAACAGUGUCAAUCAUACCAUUUCAAGGUAUCAUAGGCACUUGCUCGGGGAGAAGUGGUGACGGUGACAGCAAGGUGCAACCUUGUAUACAGCACAUAGCAAGUUGUGCCACUUGUCAGUAGUUCACUCGUUGACAUAAUUCAAAAUUUUCAAUGUUAACACGGUUCUCACUCAGUUGCUACAUGGGAAAUGGAAUCUCCUGCAUCUGGGAUAACGCUUUCCUCUCUUUGCACCACAGAACCAUACUGGACGUGUAAGAGGAAAAAAAUGUGACGCACGGCAAAGUAUACAAAAAUGUGGAUAUCUCUAACCAAGUUCUUCUCAUCAGCGUGUAAUUUUCCCGAGUUCGGGAACUUUGGGCAAGCCAAAUAGUGAGUUUGUGUUCUUUACUUGUGUUCUCUAUUCGACUAUCGCCAUGGGUUCUUCUUUCCAGCCCCUUUGCGCAUUAAACUUGUUUUCGAACUCUGCAGUCAAGAAGAAAGGAAAAGAUGCUAAAGAUCAAACUUGUACUAAAGCUGCGUCAAUUAAUGACGUAUACAUGAUUGUAGGCAAGCUGUAGUGUUGUCUGACUUACAGAUUUCAAUUUCAGUUUCAACUUUCCUCGGACCCUGUUCUUUUGUGGUUUCAGUUUGUAAAUCCUAACCAUCCAGUGCUGGGUUGUAAAAACCUGCAUUAAGCAAUAUGGUACAUGAACACGUUGCAGGUGCAGUCAAGCAAAGCUGUGAGGGGGGGUUCUGGUUUCUAAAUGAUUGGAGGGAAGAGUAGUAGCACUGUACCUCCUCAAAAUGGGUCAGUUUAAAAUGCUUCCUUCCUAUUUCAUAUCUUCUCGCUCUGUCAAAUCCCUUGCCAUCAGUCUCAGCGAAUCUAGAUGCAAAGGAGAACAAAUGUCAAGAAAAUCCAUGAUUGUGAUACAUCAGCAUGGUAACUUCCUUGCACUGACAUACCUGUAAUAAGAAAGCUUGUACAUGAGGCAAUUCAGCAUCGUUGGAGUGCCCUGAGCAUCAACACGGUAGUUGCCAUCCCUCUAUAGAAAUAAUGUAGCAUAAUAACUCAGAAGAAGUCUGAAAUUUCACAUAGUUGAUGGUGCUUUUCUUCCACAUGUUAUACUAGAAUGCAAACUGAUAUUUUUAGUUUUCUACCAUGACACUACCGAAUGAUAUGCACGAUAGUUGCAGAACACAAGUUCACCACUCACAAGGUAAUCCUGUUCCUUGAUGUGAGGGAAUUCACCACCUCCGAUUCGAACCAUCCAGAGGAACUUAUUAAUAUCAUCACUUGGGUAGCCAAUAAGACCUGAAAAUAAAAUCAUCAGGUUUUAUCGGGUCGGGAUUCAGGAAGCACUUUGUUUAGAAUAUUGUUAUUUCUGCAAGUCCAAAACACAUCAACCUCCAAAGACCACAAGCACAUAUUUGACAUCUAAGGAAUUGAAGAUCUCCCAUGCUCCUUUUUCUGGGGAUGACAUUGCUGUCCCAACUGUCGCUAUGUGCGUGUUAUUCCAGGUAUUAUUGUCUACAAUCACAGUCCUGUUGGCCAUUGCAGUUGUCUGAUAACCAUAGUCCCACCAUGACGCAACCUACAGCAAUCAUUGCCAUCUUUCUAUCAGAAUGAUGCAAUUCAAGUGAUCAGAGUAGGUCCAUUCGAAGGCAUACCUUAUCGUCUACUUCUGUGUUAUGGCGCAGCCAUGCAUAAGAUUCACGGAAAUCGUCAUAAACAUGCAACCUGUCGUGUGAACGUGAUGUCAGCACAAUUGAGGGUGCAGAGUAUGCUUCUGCAGCUGCCCAUACACAAUGGAUCUGCAAAAAUGGCAUCGUUAAGUAAUAGCGUCGCUUUUAAUGAGAAUGCUGCUUCCAGUGAGAACAGAUACCUUACCACAUAAAGUCCACAAAGCAUGAUCAGGAACAGUAUACCCAUGGCAGAUGCUUCAGAAGGCAGUACACAAAGCUUCUCCUCCUUUUCGGGCCUAACAGGAGAACUUCCCACCAAUUCUGUUUCCUUCCGACUCUUCUUUGAUGAUCUUUCCUUUGAAAUAGUCCCCAUUUUUUCUUUUUUUAUGUUCGCAUUUUUCGUGGAAGUUGUGAUAGUGGCUGUACUGGAACUCCCUGGGGUACUAUCUCCUGCCUUAAAUUUGACAGGAGAGUACAUCAGUAAACCUUUUGUAGAAACUAAAUCUGGAUAAGAAAAAUAGAAAAAUAGUACUAAUGAAAUGAUCAUACAGUAGGAAGGGUAUCAUCUGAUAUUGGGCGCUGAAAUUUCAUUGAUCGUGUGAGGACGUUAAAAGCUUCUGACAGAGCAAUCCCGGACAAAAUGCACACAGCAGGGGCAAGAACAAGCAUCAGUCGUACCUAACAUUGCACUAACAUCACUAUCAACUGAUAAAUAAAGCAAUACGGUACUGUAUCUUAGCAGUGAUGACUUACCAUUACCCCAGAGAAAUAUACUGAAGUUACCAAGUACAAGACCAAAAAUGAGCUUGCAUCAGAUAAAGGUAAGAAGCAUGACUGCAGGUUGUGUUGCAAUAAAUUAAUUAAAACCAUGCUAAACACGAAGUAAAAUCCAUUUUCCAACAAAACAUGAAUGCUUACUAUGAUCCCAGCAGGAACUAAGAAGGCUAGCACAUUGAUAGCCAUAAAGUAAGAAGGCCAGGUAGGUGGUUGAUGUUCGCUCACGCUAGCAAUGAUAGGGAUGUACUUGCUUGCAUAUGUUCUGUCAGAAUGGAACAAAGCGAAGGAAUUCAAGGCAUCAACUUAUAUAGAAAACAGAAGAAGAAUUCAUCAUAAACAGGAACCAGAAUUAUGUCCAUCCUGUAUACAGAAUAAAUUUCAAGUUAUCAGUACAUCGUGGGUAAUAGAAAGAGUGGAUUCCAUUUUUUACCUUACCCCCUACUUUGAUAUUUUUACGCUAAUUACCCACCCCCGUUUAAUAGCUUUUCAUUCGAAUUACCCCAUGCGACAAAAGUUUUGCCAGUUUUACCCCAUUUAAAGUAUUUUAGGUUGUGGAUAGCUUCUCCAGUGGUUCUUUUGCCAUACAAAGCAUCAAUGGAAUUAUGCCUAGUACAUGCAACACCCAGAAGCUUCGGAACUACUGCACAUAUGAUAAUUGCUUGUACGAUAUGAGCACGAUGCUAAAUCCAAUGGUCUUUAUUUCCUUUGCCCAAAUGCUGCAAGGUCAGAUCCAAAUCAUCAUACAAAUAUCGGAUAAGGCCUGUGGUACAUAUAGCAGUGCUCCAGAAGCAAAUGCCGUGAAGAAGAAUGAGGUGGAAACAAUGAACAAGGAGCUGCGUGACAUGAAGAAGUAAUUUAUCAAGGCAAAGUGGUACGUACGUACAUCUGCCGACCGUGAGAAAAAACUGUAUUCUAGCCAUUUGACCGGUUCAGGCACGGGAAAAGAUGCCAGAAAAAAAAUGCAAUGUGGCACGCCAUGUGUGCCUGAUGACCAGGGCUCACCUGAUAGAUCACUAAAUGGGAUAAAAACUCGUAAUUUUUUUAAAUGGGGGCAAAACUUUUACUAAAUGGGGUAAUCCGGAUGAAAAACUGUUAAAUGGGGUAAUUUCUGUCAAAAACGUCAGAGUAUGGAGUAAAAACUGGAAUUCACUCUAAUAGAAAUCACAAUUCUUUUGUACUAAUGCGGAAAUCUAGAAGGUAGCAUAUCUCUUUAGAAACUCCAAAUCCAGAGGAAAGGUGGUUCCAAUUAAAAUUGUCAUGUUUAUUGUUAACCAGAGUGAAGGCUUCGUUAUCAGUGAAACAAAAACAAGAACAAGUCUUGCGCCAAACAAAUACUUUAUGAGAACUUACGGGUCAAGUAGACUCAAACUGCGCCCACUCCAACCUUUUGUUGGGCUAGAUGCGACCAAUGCAGCAAGUAUCGCUACUACAGCGAAACAAAGGGCUCUGCAGGAAUCCUUGAUAUUAGAAUGUGUACAGAACAUCUACUUUGUUUUGACUUAUGAGAAACAAAUGUUUGGUCUGUCAAUAUUAUGAACCAGUAUCAAGUGUAACACGUCUUUUAACGCACAUUAACUGGUUUUGACAUCAGAAACUUACAAGCCAACCGUUAGUACGAAUGUCAUGGCCACUUUGAACAGCCGAGGAGUUAAAAGUCCUUUGAUGUAAUACACAAGAGCAACCACAUGGAGGAUUAUAAACACCUGGAAUUCAAUCAUCAUUUUCAGAAAUAAAGAGAAAGCAAUUACUCCCUCCGAUCCAUAUUACUUGUCACUCAAACGGAUGUAUCUAGACGUAUUUCAGUGCUAAAUACAUCCAUUUGAGCGACAAGUAAUAUGGAUUGGAGGGAGUAGCAAUUUUUUAACAGAUAUACAAAAAUUGGGUGAAAUCAGACAAUUUAAGGGGGGAAAAGGAACACAUGCGUAGGUAGAUAAUCAAUUGGUGUACCAGAAAUGAUGCAAAGUGCUCUGAUGUCAAUACUGCAUUAAAACCAACCACAGGUACCAAUGCUGCCAGAAGUGUUCCCAGUACAACCUGCAUGGUGCUAAUCAUGAUAAUGAGAAUCUGUGCUGUUCUUUUGUGCAUAACCAAUUGGUAAGCCAUUAGACUUAUCGACUUACAAGGGGAGCAUAAGCAACAUAAAGUCGUGAAGAAUAACGACCAGUUACAAUACACAGGAGAACAUGCAUUGGGAUAAGGUUGAUGAUGAAUGUGUAGCCUCCCCAGGAACAGACCUGAAAAGCGGAAAUGCAGUAUAAUGUGAAGAAUUUUCUGAAACUUGUAGCUAUUCUAAACAUCUUCGAAUAGAAACUUACCAUGUAAAAGUAAGAGAGAGCAUUAAGUGUUGCAUAAAAGAGUGACCCCGUGUUUAGUGUCUGCAUAGUCAUCAUUAUGUUAUCUUCUUGAAGGCACAAAGAGAAGGUUAAAAUGAACAAGGCCUAAAAUUCUAAGGACGCUUUGAGAACCUAACCUUUACAUAUAGAUAAAAUGUGAAUAUUAAAGCAAAUAUUGCUACAGCUUCGUUAUCGUAGCUGCCUGCAACAGAUCUUGAGAUGUAUGAGGGGACCUGCGUAUUAGGAGGAAUGAUAAGUAGUUUCUCGAUCAAGUGCUAUUUACAAGAUAGUGUAUAAGGAUAUAGUAGCAGUAGGUAGGCAUAUUUAUAAAAAAAGGAAAGAUGAUGUCUCAUGGUCGCAGAUCCCAAAUAAAUGAGAAAAACACAGCCUUACCCCAUGGCUCAAUGAUCAUUAGGAUUUUUAUUCACAGGAAAUUUCAACUUUCAUAAUUCAGAAAUAUUUUGGUUCUCAGCUUUGUGUUCCAGUCCCUAUUUUUCAUAUUUUCCCAGGCCAGGCCAUUCUUGGACCUCAACUUUUUUAAUGAAGCUGCUUCGAUCAUUCAGCUCUCAGUUUUUAGAUACUGAUUCUUGUGAUUAAACAGUUGUAAAAUCUCUGAAUUUUCCUGUUUUUGACAUGUAAGAAAUGAACCUUGUCGGUUACAGAAGGUUUUUCAGAUAAAUAGUGAAGUCGAAGAACCAAAUAAGCUCACUUGAAAUGAUUAGGACGUAAAAUCAACCGGAGCUCGAACCAGAGGACCAAAAUAUGACUCCUUUGUUUGGAAAUGCCAAAUUCAACUCCUAAACAUUGAUCGGCUGAGAAGUGAUUUGACAACUAUUCCAGAAAAGAGAUAAUUGAGAAUAACCUAACGAAUGAGGAUUGGGAUGUGAAAAAGUUAUUCCGCUAGGAAGAAUGAAGACACAAAUUUACAAAAGCUUUUGCUCAUACAGUUGGAAAUAUGGAAGCAAUUUUUACAAAGCUAACAGAAAUAUCGCAUCAAAGUAUCCCCAUUCUCUAAUUUACCCACAAACGAAUGGACGAACAGACCUAGCCUACAUUUGUCCAUUGGAACUCACAGCAAAGUACCAAUACACAAGUGUAAGCAGCAAGGUAUAAAAUGAGAAAUAUAAAUCAGGUAGGCAUAUAAAAAAAACUUAAUUUUCUCAUGGCCAAACUGAGCAGUCCCUCCAUAAAGAAAAGAUAAAAGAAACAGAGAAUACCAUCGCUAAGAUAGUUGCUGCCAUUAAACCAGCCCCAUGACCCUUCGCUUCCUGGAAGGUAAAGUACAUAGUUACUACAGAACUUCUGUGGUUGUAGAACUAGUGUAAGCACAUGUGAUUCUUAUAUCAGGAAAACAACCUUUGUCAACAGAUAGGUUGCCCAGGAAGCAUUUGCCGAAAAAAUUGGAGCGGUGAACACGCAGACAGUCUCCACCGACAAUGGGAUGUUGAGGGAGUUGAGCAACCUGUACCAACCAAACACUCGAGGCGCGAUCGCAGUUUUUCAAAGCUAUCCAACAACGCAUUGCUCUAUGCUACGGAUUAUGGAAUGAAACAUUUUACAUACCACCAUAUCGUGCCGGCCGUCAGUGUCAAGCCAGGAUAGACAGUGCCACCAAUAACACGUCCGAGGGGGUACCUAAUAUACAGAUAACAGUAUGAGACGAUGAACAUUCAUAACGCACGCUGAAUGAUUCAUGUGUCCUGGCAAGUGGCAACCAUACCAUGUUCGGUCGUCAAACCAGUUCCAAAACUCGUAGAUUCCACUCUUUGACAAAAACUGAGACAAGGCAGGGAAACAUAUAGCGAAUAAAAGAUAUAAUCCUUUUUGGAACACCAAGAGUUGUAGGAAAAUGUAAGCAGCAAAUUACACAAAAGAACACAUCCCAAGUCCCCAAUCAUAUGCAGAGGCCAGGAUGCUUGCCCUUACAUUGGGGGAAAAAAACCUAUAUUCGUCCCAAUUUUCUCACCGCUUAAUACCACUACCAUGUACUAGCACGUGAAAGUAAACGAAGCUUCCUACAACCGUAGUUCCCAAAAUUCGAAUGCGAUGACGCUCCGAACAAACACAGCAACGCGUCCUGCUACGCCUUGAGCUCAGUUUCACAGUGCUGCUACACUCCACACGCACCUGAGCAACGGACAGUGGGCAACAAUGCGACGCCGCCGAAACUGACCUGAGUGACGCGGUAGUUGAAGUAGGGAUCGAACUCGUGGAUCACGCUCUCGUACUUGAUCACCUGCGGCACACCACCACCACCAGGGACAUGUGAGGCGGCCAAAGAGUUGGCCAUAGGAUCUAGAGAACGUUGGCGUGGAUCUUACGGAGAAGAGGCGGAUGGAGAAGGCGAGGACGCCGAUGAGGAGGAGGGUGAAAGCACACAGCACGCCGCUCAGGGCGUUCCGGAGUCGGCCGCCGCCGCCGGCCGCCAUGGAGAUGGACCCGGCCUCCAGCUCCGCCAUGGCGGCUCAGCAGAGCGGUGGAGUUGGGGGAGCAGACCAAGGAAGGCUGUUGGUGUAGCUGCUGUCUUGGUGCCCUGCAGUCAAGCCGCUGCGUACCGUAGCAGUGGAGUACUGAGCUUGUUUGGCGAUUUGGCUCUACGAAGUUUCCAGAUCGAAUUCACUGGUGAUCAUUAUUAUAUUUAUUUAGAAAGAAAAGAAAACGCCCAUCCGAUUAUAUGCUGGCUGGCUACGAGUUGCUAAAGCUCACCAAAAAGCGGCUAAUGUCUUGCCCUCAGUCCAGUGAAACUUUUGUCUACACAAACAAAAAUGGUAUUCACAAUCACACCUGACAACCAGUCAACGUGGACAUCCUUGUGCACAAGGGUCAAAUUUAGAAGAUUUGCUCUAUCCAAUAAUAAAAACAUUUAUGGAGGAAGGAACAUUCUCCCAGUGACAAUGGGCCAAGUCGUUCAGAUUUUUAUUUUUUUGAGCAGAAAUACUCCUUUGAACUAGAACCACUACAAAAAUUAUGGAACGGACGGAGUACUUUCUUUUCCACAGGUCCACUGCAUUUUAGAAAUAAGCACACUAGAUUUUAUGCAACAACAUGCUUGUUUUUUACCCAGGAACACAGUUACAAGCAUCGAUUCGUAUAAAAAACAACAGACAGAUGAGAUCACCAAAGCUAAAAACAAUAUAUGAUACAUCUAUGGCAGAGCCGCUGAACCAGAGCGAACGAAUUCAAACUUUCUCAACAACAAAAUAGGGAGCCUGAUAAUGCAACUGCGGAGUAACUCCACCAAACUGGAGCUGACACACCACCAGAUACAACCAGAGUUCAAGCUUCUUCAAGAAUGGCACGGGCAAGAUUUGAUCCCAAAGCCAAUCUGACAGAGCUC
This 10003-nucleotide long non-coding RNA is filed under the name Triticum aestivum (bread wheat). RNAcentral describes it as "long non-coding RNA (TAES_LNC025903)". The stretch from base 264 to 437 matches the Rfam family "U2 spliceosomal RNA". Lineage: Eukaryota; Viridiplantae; Streptophyta; Magnoliopsida; Poales; Poaceae. The record is from RNAcentral.